This 856-nucleotide long non-coding RNA is filed under the name Equus asinus (donkey). Its description in RNAcentral is "lncRNA (ENSEASG00005027736.1)". Lineage: Eukaryota; Metazoa; Chordata; Mammalia; Perissodactyla; Equidae. The record is from RNAcentral.
AUGCAAUGUGCUCCUUGCCUUGGAUUUCACACCCUCAGUCUGUUAUAAGAUGUGGUUCCUGUCAUGUGUGAGGCUUUCCUAUCUUAGGAUGGCUCCCACCCACCCCUGCAGCCUUGCCUGUUACAACCAAGGACAUUCCUAUGAGAUGAAAGGGUUGAGAAGCAAUACCUAGAGUAUUGUAAUACUCUAGGUAUCCUGAUGAUCUAUCAUCCUGAUGAAGAUGAGUUUAAUGCCGUCAGGCUGACAAGCUAUGUUUCAUGUCCUAUAUCCUGCUACAAAGAUCCGUCCGUCCGUAUCCCAUCUCAGGCUGAGAGAUGCUGAUGUGAGGCCCAGAGGGUGGUGCCUGAGAGAGAAACCGGCGGUUGCAUAAACCGAGGCCACUUCAGGUUAAAGGGGAGCGAGUUCUGUCUAUCCAAACGAACACGGUGAGAACUGAAGGGAUAAAUGUACCACCCGAAGGAUUCUCCUGGGACCCUCCCCAAGGACCUGGAUUCCUUAAAGAUCCCGCCACAGCAGGAGCACUCAGAGUACGCCUUCCCCAAGCAAAGAGUCUAAAGGUCUGGGAGAUCCCCUCCCUCCCUCGUCAUGGACAAGACCCAUUCUCAGUGCUCUGCCCCACCUAACUCCAGGGCCCCACGGAAGAAACGAGAGAGGAAUCUAGAGGUGGAAAAGAGGGACGUCAUUUGUCCCUGAACAGAAUAACCUGAGACCGCCGGUACCAUGGCUGUGGACGUGUGGGGUCGUGGGAAUCCCUAGCGCUGGUCGCGCUCCUGAGUCCGCUUCCAAACCUCAUUCACGACCCGGAAAGGAUGCAUGCAUAUAUAUGUGUGUGUGUGUGUGUGUGUGUGUGUGUGUG